This 459-nucleotide ribosomal RNA is filed under the name uncultured bacterium. RNAcentral describes it as "partial 16S ribosomal RNA". It matches the Rfam family "Bacterial small subunit ribosomal RNA", at positions 338 to 795 of the family's 1533-position model. The record is from RNAcentral.
CCUACGGGAGGCAGCAGUGAGGAAUAUUGGUCAAUGGCCGGAAGGCUGAACCAGCCAAGCCGCGUGAAGGACGAAGGUGCCAAGCAUUGUAAACUUCUUUUGUCAAGGGACAAAAUCAGGCUCGAGAGCCUGACCGAGGGUACUUGAAGAACAAGCAUCGGUAAACUCCGUGCCAGCAGCCGCGGUAAUACGGAGGAUGCGAGUGUUAUCCGGAUUUAUUGGGUUUAAAGGGUGCGUAGGCGGACUGUUAAGUCAGCGGGAAAAGCCCGGGGCGAAACCCCGGCGAGCCGUUGAAACUGGCUGUCUUGAGAUGUCGAGAGGUAUGCGGAAUGCGCAGUGUAGCGGUGAAAUGCUUAGAUAUUGCGCAGAACUCCGAUUGCGAAGGCAGCAUACCGGCGGCGAUCUGACGCUGAGGCACGAAAGCGUGGGUAUCGAACAGGAUUAGAUACCCUUGUAGUC